ACGCCUGCGCAGUGGCCUCUUUCCCCCGAAGCCAGACCUCCCCUCUCCUACUGUUGCCUGGUCGCUCUUUUACCCACCCCCAGGCUAACCCCGUCUGCCAAUCACAGCCCGCUGCGGUUUCAGAGCGCCCCCUCUCCCCCCUCCCGCCCAGAGGCUUCGGGGAUUGGCUGUAACCGAAGAAAGAGCAGGAAUCUUAUUUGGAGGUAGAGCUGCCUCAAGAAAUCCAGCUGGAACUGGUCUGAGGUGGCGAGGUGGGUGCGGGGAGGGCUUUGAGCAUCUGGCGGGAAAGCUGGAGCUCCGCCUUCAGCGCUGCGGUUCUUUCUUGUCUGAAAUAGAGCACACGUGCCCUUUGCUCGUGCGUUUUAACUAAUCCCUGUUAGCUGAUGUGUCUGCUGGUGGGCUAGGGCCUGAGCGGACUGACCCGGGACUGGCGGCCUCAUCUGCAGGGCCUGGCACGGGAUGGAGAAGUCCAGCCCUUGCUUAGGGCCGUGGGCCACCCCCCCACCCCCCAUGCAAAUCCUUAACCCUCUCCCGAAGCCUCAGGAGCUCCGGCUCUUCCCUUGCCCCUGCGGCGCCAGCCCAGAGGGCGAAGAGUCUGGCGGGAUGGGGCAAUCAGGUUGGAAAACUCGAUGAGACACAGCGGGAGAGUUAAGAAUAAGAGUCCUCUGAACUGUAUCCUAUGGGCCGCAGUUGUCUGCGGGCUCCUAAUGGGAAGGCAGGGAGUUGAAAGCAGUGCUUGAAGCCUUUAUUGAUCGGGCUUUGGAAUGUUGGCCCGGCUGGGAGGAGGAAGGGGAGCUGUCAGAAGCUGUUGAGAUGAUGAGAGCCUGGCCCAGGAGUAAGAGGACGGGAAGAGAAGCAAAGGAGAAGAAUCAAAUGGCAGUGCACGUCUUAGUGUAUAAUCCGUCCGGCUCCGUAAAUCUCCUUGCCUUGGCACCCUCGGACUUCGUUUGUAGUCCUGUCACUACCAGUUGAAAGAGGGGCCGGGGAUUUAGCUCAGUGGUUUCCGCCGCCUGCUGCGCAAGCUCAAGGAUCCGAGUUCCAUCCCCUGUACCAAAAGAAAAAAAAAAAGUGCUGAAAGACUCGUGAGGAAUUUGAAAAUUGACAAAUAUGUACCAGGAGAACAUGUGGGUGGUUAGCAAAGAUCAAAAAUAGGGAAAACAAACAAAAUGAAACCAGAUGAUCAACCCUCGGAGGCUUGGCAGAAAACAAAUGGCUGAUGGAAUAACAACUCCAGUUCCAACUGCAGCACCUAUCUUAUGCUCCAUUCCUCCUAAGUGUCUGUUUCUGUUGGAAGGCACAGCUAGAGCUGCAUGCAGCAACAAAUGAUGCCUGAACCCAUAUCCACAACACCUGAGCAAAAUGAGUAUCUGCUUAGAAAAGUUUAGGGUGAAUGAUCCACACACUUUACUAAUUAGUAAGGAGAAUUCUUGUCUGUCUUUAGAGGCUGCCUAGGCCCUCCCAGUUAUAUCAUGUAGAGCGUUCCCUGCCCCUGUGUCUAGGAAGAUAGGUCUGGAGUGGAGCUCUGGUGUGACCUAAAUGGCCAAAGCCACGCUACAAUGUUGAACAGCUGGGAGGCAAAACGUUCCCCCUCCCUUAUCUGGAAUAAGUCUCAGAGGUUUUCACUGCCCAGUACUCAGCUUUACCACUUAGGAGUAGCCACAAGAUUUGUUCCAGGGAGCAAUUCUCUUUUUUUUCCCCAUUACUGGGGAUUGAACCAAGGGCUCUAGCACUGAGCUACCUCCCUAGUCCUUUAGUUGAAAGUCUCCUUAAAUCAUUACUUUGCCCAGGCUGCACUUGAACUUGUCAUCCUCCUGCCUCAGCUUCCCAGAGUGCAACAACUGUAAUUUAAGAGGCAAAAUUUAACAAGAUUACCAAGAGCUUUUUGCUGUCCAGCCUGGGUGGCAGUUCUUAAAUCUCAGGUAGCCCCUAAUGUUGGAAGUGGGGACCCUAAAACAACCUUCUAUAGAAAAAGAUGAGGGAUUGGGGUCAGUAGUACCAUAGGGGUUUUUCUUACCUCGUGUUUUAUUUUUUCUUUAAUCUUGCAGGAUUCUGUUGCACUGUGCCAAAAUGUUUUUCUUACAUUUUCACAGCUUUGAGCUUGAGGUGGCUGCAAAA
Non-coding RNA from Heterocephalus glaber (naked mole-rat), 2115 nucleotides. The record is from RefSeq and is a predicted model, not a curated record. NCBI's taxonomy places the organism in Eukaryota, Metazoa, Chordata, Mammalia, Rodentia, Bathyergidae.